This 54-nucleotide transfer RNA is filed under the name Rattus norvegicus (Norway rat). The record is from Rfam by way of RNAcentral. Lineage: Eukaryota; Metazoa; Chordata; Mammalia; Rodentia; Muridae.
GGGGAUUUAGCUCAGUGGUAGAGCGCUUGCCUAGGAAGCUGGGUUCGAUCCCCA